UGAGCAAUCUGCCCUUCUCUUUGGAAUAAGCGUUGGAAACGACGUCUAAUGCCGAAUACGACCUCCUUUCGCAUGAUCGGAGGUGGAAAGCUCCGGCGGAGAAGGAUGAGCUCGCGGCCUAUCAGCUAGUUGGUGUGGGUAAUGGCCCACCAAGGCGACGACGGGUAGCCGGCCUGAGAGGGCGACCGGCCACACUGGGACUGAGACACGGCCCAGACCUCCUACGGGAGGCAG
Molecule: ribosomal RNA, 234 nt
Filed under: uncultured bacterium
Lineage: Bacteria
Description: partial 16S ribosomal RNA
Rfam family: Bacterial small subunit ribosomal RNA
Source: RNAcentral